This 762-nucleotide ribosomal RNA is filed under the name uncultured bacterium. RNAcentral's name for it is "bacterial SSU rRNA". It matches the Rfam family "Bacterial small subunit ribosomal RNA", at positions 104 to 858 of the family's 1533-position model. The record is from RNAcentral.
GGGUGAGUAACCCAUUUUUCCACCCUUCCCUUAAACUGGGGGGAUACCCUUUGGAAAGAAAAGUUUAAUCCCCGAUUAUUUUACCAUUUCCUCCUGGUUUUGGUUUUUUAAAAUUUUUCGGUUAUAGAAUGGGGAGGCGCUCCAUUAGACAGUUGGGGAGGCCAACGGCUUCCCCAAUUCUACGAUGGAUAGGGGUUUGAGAGGAAGGUCCCCCACAUUGAAACUGAGACACGGUCCAAACUCCUACGGGAGGCAGCAGUGAGGAAUAUUGUCAAAUGGACGAGAGUCUGAACCAGCCAAGUAGCGUGAAGGAUGACUGCCCUAUGGGUUGUAAACUUCUUUUAUAAGAGAAUAAAGUGUCCCACGUGUGGGAUUUUGUAUGUAUCUUAUGAAUAAGGAUCGGCUAACUCCGUGCCAGCAGCCGCGGUAAUACGGAGGAUCCGAGCGUUAUCCGGAUUUAUUGGGUUUAAAGGGUGCGUAGGCGGACUGAUAAGUCAGCUGUGAAAGUUUACGGCUCAACCGUGAAAUUGCAGUUGAUACUGUUAGUCUUGAGUAUACAUGAGGUGGGCGGAAUUUGUGGUGUAGCGGUGAAAUGCUUAGAUAUCACAAAGAACUCCAAUUGCGAAGGCAGCUCACUGGGGUAUAACUGACGCUGAGGCACGAAGGUGUGGGUAUCAAACAGGAUUAGAUGCCCUGGUAGUCCACACAGUAAACGAUGAAUACUCGCUGUUUGCGAUACACAGCAAGCGGCCAAGCGAAAGC